GUGAGGAAUUUUCCGCAAUGGGCGAAAGCCUGACGGAGCAAUGCCGCGUGAAGGAUGAAGGCCUAUGGGUUGUAAACUUCUUUUCUUAGAGAAGAAUAUUGACGGUAUCUGAGGAAUAAGCAUCGGCUAACUCUGUGCCAGCAGCCGCGGUAAGACAGAGGAUGCAAGCGUUAUCCGGAAUGAUUGGGCGUAAAGCGUCUGUAGGUGGCUUCAAAAGUCUCCUGUCAAAGAUCAGGGCUUCACCCUGGGCCGGCAGGAGAAACUCUGAGGGUAGAGUUUGGUAGGGGCAGAGGGAAUUCCCGGUGGAGCGGUGAAAUGCGUAGAGAUCGGGAGGAACACCGAAGGCGAAAGCACUCUGCUGGGCCACAACUGACACUGAGAGACGAAAGCGAGGGGAGCAAAAGGGAUUAGAUACCCCUGUAGUCC
RNAcentral lists this ribosomal RNA (426 nucleotides) under uncultured bacterium. RNAcentral's name for it is "partial 16S ribosomal RNA". It matches the Rfam family "Bacterial small subunit ribosomal RNA", at positions 354 to 796 of the family's 1533-position model. The record is from RNAcentral.